UCAGAUUGAACGCUGGCGGCAGGCCUAACACAUGCAAGUCGAACGGUAACAGGAAGCAGCUUGCUGCUUCGCUGACGAGUGGCGGACGGGUGAGUAAUGUCUGGGAAACUGCCUGAUGGAGGGGGAUAACUACUGGAAACGGUAGCUAAUACCGCAUAACGUCGCAAGACCAAAGAGGGGGACCUUCGGGCCUCUUGCCAUCGGAUGUGCCCAGAUGGGAUUAGCUAGUAGGUGGGGUAACGGCUCACCUAGGCGACGAUCCCUAGCUGGUCUGAGAGGAUGACCAGCCACACUGGAACUGAGACACGGUCCAGACUCCUACGGGAGGCAGCAGUGGGGAAUAUUGCACAAUGGGCGCAAGCCUGAUGCAGCCAUGCCGCGUGUAUGAAGAAGGCCUUCGGGUUGUAAAGUACUUUCAGCGGGGAGGAAGGCGAUAAGGUUAAUAACCUUGUCGAUUGACGUUACCCGCAGAAGAAGCACCGGCU
This 485-nucleotide ribosomal RNA is filed under the name Enterobacter asburiae. Its description in RNAcentral is "bacterial SSU rRNA". It matches the Rfam family "Bacterial small subunit ribosomal RNA", at positions 24 to 498 of the family's 1533-position model. The record is from RNAcentral. Lineage: Bacteria; Pseudomonadati; Pseudomonadota; Gammaproteobacteria; Enterobacterales; Enterobacteriaceae.